Molecule: ribosomal RNA, 325 nt
Filed under: uncultured eukaryote
Lineage: Eukaryota
Description: partial 18S ribosomal RNA
Rfam family: Eukaryotic small subunit ribosomal RNA
Source: RNAcentral
CCCUUAGAUGUUCUGGGCCGCACGCGUGCUACACUGAGUGGAUCAGCGGGUCAGGUUGCGCGAAAGCGUUUCCUAAUCUUUAAAUCCGCUCGUGAUGGGGAUUGACGGUUGCAAUUUUCCGUCGUGAACGAGGAAUACCUUGUAGGCGCAUGUCAUCAUCAUGCGCCGAAUACGUCCCUGCCCUUUGUACACACCGCCCGUCGCUCCUACCGAUUGAAUGUUCCGGUGAACACUUUGGAAUAGUGCCUUUGUAUGGGGAAACUUGUACUUGGAUACUGUAAAGUUGUGUAAACCUUAACAUUUAGAGGAAGGAGAAGUCGUAACA